This 254-nucleotide ribosomal RNA is filed under the name uncultured bacterium. Its description in RNAcentral is "partial 16S ribosomal RNA". It matches the Rfam family "Bacterial small subunit ribosomal RNA", at positions 524 to 776 of the family's 1533-position model. The record is from RNAcentral.
UACGAAGGGUGCAAACGUUGCUCGGAAUUAUUGGGCGUAAAGCGCACGUAGGCGGCUUUGCAAGUCGGAUGUGAAAUCCCUCGGCUUAACCAAGGAAGUGCAUCCGAAACUGCAGAGCUUGAGUACUUAAGAGGAUCGCGGAAUUCCCGGUGUAGAGGUGAAAUUCGUAGAUAUCGGGGAGGAACACCGGUGGCGAAGGCGGCGAUCUGGGUCGAUACUGACGCUGAGGUGCGAAAGCGUGGGGAGCAAACAGG